This is a long non-coding RNA of Dermacentor albipictus, 1108 nucleotides long. RefSeq lists it as uncharacterized. Lineage: Eukaryota; Metazoa; Arthropoda; Arachnida; Ixodida; Ixodidae. The record is from RefSeq and is a predicted model, not a curated record.
GCCUGUGAGCACACUUCGUUGUUAAACAAAGCUGUAGCCUCUCGACACAGGAAGCCGUGAGAGAAAUGGAGUUCUGAAGGCCGCAGCCGGCCACAGCUGCUGGCCGCCUGAACGACACAGCUGCAACGUCGCGGGCUCUCGCGCGAGCACGCGCCGACCGCGGCGGCCUACCCCCCACCUCCCUCCCUCCCUCCCUCCCCGCCAUACCGCAGCUUUGUGAGCCAGUCUAGCGGGAGGCGUUGACUGUGUCGCGCGAUGGCGUCAUUUUCAGCUCGGACCUCGCAUCUGGGCCAGUGCAACGGCCGUGCAGUACUGCAGGGCUGGCGCCAUGACGGAAACGCAGUGGCUGGUGCUUCUGAUCGCUCAGGUGGUCGUGGCCUUCGUGUGUCCGCCGAACAUCUGUGAGAAAGCCAAGUGCCCCCACGUCUCUGCGGAGACCUGUCACGGUCGACUCAGCACCGAAGGCAGCCUCUGCGGGUGCUGUGAGGUCUGCAUGCACGAAUUAGGGCUUGGAGAACCAUGCGUGUUCUUGCCAUUGCUCGGAGUGCCCCAAAUAUACAGAUGUGCGAAGGGUCUCAUCUGCUAUCCUGAUACCAAAGUGUGCAGUCGACCUCAGUGGCACAUGGCUACUGAAGUUAAUUACAGAAAAGUUUAGACAUUUUUUUCACGUUUAAUAAAUAAAGCAACCCUGGCAUCACGAGAGCUGGGGCUACAACUCCGCAAUUCCAACAUUUACUUGCUGUAAAGAAAAAAUGCUGCUGAAAAUACUAUCGUUCUUGGAAGCCUGCCUCUAUGGCAAUGUUGAGCUUUCAGAUUAUCGCCCCUGUCUACUUCACACAGGUGUGGAGAAGGCGUUUAAUAGCGCGCUAAUGACUAUUCAUGCUCAGCGGUCAUGUGUUUUCUGAAGUUGGAGCUCAGUGAAGUCUUGGUGCCAUGAUAUAACAGCGCACCUUGUAGAAGUUUUAACGUAACCAGUGUCAUUAAGAACAUAAGCUUUAUUUCGGCAAGUGUAAUUCAAUUCUUGUAUUUUCUUCGGGCACCGAAUCUUUCAAAAGUUCGAGUGUUUGUUAUUUCAAGCGCCAUUAAAAGAAUACAUCUUUUAUAUGUA